Molecule: long non-coding RNA, 486 nt
Filed under: Physcomitrium patens
Lineage: Eukaryota; Viridiplantae; Streptophyta; Bryopsida; Funariales; Funariaceae
Description: long non-coding RNA (PPAT_LNC003565)
Source: RNAcentral
GUUAACAAUUGGAAAAAGAGAAAUUGCUACUUGAACAUUUGUAUCAACUUUUUAGUUGGUAGCCAAGUCACAUUAGUGUGGAUUUUUGGAUAUUUUCUCACAAUUUGUAAGUUAGAUUGGACUAAAUUUUUCAUAGCAUAUAAAAUACUUAUAAAAGCAUUUGUGUAAAAAACUUUUACUAAAAAUAUUGUCAAAUUAGGAGUUAUAACUUGCUAAAUAUCAUUGACUAUAAUUAGGGCUUGUAAAAAGAAAUCAAAAUUACCUAAUUAUGAAAGUAAUAAGGCAAUUGGAGUUUGCAUAUAGUUGAGGUUACUAAAAAGAGUAUUUUUAAGUACCUUGUAUCAAAUUUAAGCACUUAUAAAUUAAAAUUUGAAUUACAUUCUUUUUAUGUGAGUAAAAUCCAUUAGGAUUUUUUUAAAUACUUAUAAAAUACAACUUUAUCUUCCAUAGCCAAGUGCCUAGUACAUUUCCAAACAAAAUAAUAAG